Molecule: ribosomal RNA, 394 nt
Filed under: uncultured bacterium
Lineage: Bacteria
Description: partial 16S ribosomal RNA
Rfam family: Bacterial small subunit ribosomal RNA
Source: RNAcentral
AUACGGAGGAUGCAAGCGUUAUCCGGAUUUAUUGGGUCUAAAGGGUGCGUAGGCGGAUGAUUAAGCGUGAGGUGAAAUGCCACUGCUCAACAGUGGAACUGCCUCGCGAACUGGUUGUCUUGAAUGCUCCUGCCGUGGGAGGAAUGUGUGGUGUAGCGGUGAAAUGCAUAGAGAUCACACAGAACACCGAUUGCGAAGGCAUCUCACGAAGGGGUGAUUGACGCUGAGGCACGAAAGCGUGGGGAUCAAACAGGAUUAGAUACCCUGGUAGUCCACGCAGUAAACGAUGAUAACUAACCGCUGGGUCGUAGUGAUUCAGUGGCCAAGCGAAAGCGAUAAGUUAUCCACCUGGGGAGUACGACCGCAAGGUUGAAACUUAAAGGAAUUGACGGGG